UGCCUCGGCAGCUCUCAGAGGUCUUGGAAUCGCGUCUCUCUUUUAAAAGCAUCCGAUCGGAUAGCUUUUAGAGGUCUUCUUCCGUGCUGUGUCAACAGCCGUGCGCCGCGAGGAUCCAUUGUUGCGGCUUAGGUCUUGAAGAAACGCAAAGAUUGGUAGGGGACUGUGGCCCUCAGAUUCUCGGGCAUCCGUCUUGGCAGUUGCUGGAGUUUGUCAUUCCAUCAGCAUCUUCUUCCUCCCGGGCUCUGCGAGCUUCAUCAGCUCGCCUUCAUUCUCACCCGGCUCAUCUCAUUCCGCGUUCUCUCGGUCCUUGCGGCCAUUAUUGUGGCCCAGAGUUUUGUCUCCCCGUUGUGUCCCCUCGUCUGUUGUCUUGUGUGUCACGGGUGUCUGGGUGUAGUAGUCCUGGAGCUGCUCUGUCCUGCUGCCCAGCCUGGGUGUAGGCAUGAGGGGACAAGUCCCAGGCCCCUGUUAUUUGAAAUUUGUGAUGUAGGGUGUAGUUGGAGUCUAGCGGGUGUUCCUAGAUUGACACAAGAUGUCAGGAGCUGUGAAGUUACCCUGCAGCACUUUGACUUUUGUCUCAGCUUUCUUUCAGAUGGGGACGGAUGAAAUCGGUGGCAGAGCGCCCCAUCCAGGGUAAGGGGGUUCCCCUGAGAAGGUAAGUCAAUGUUUGUCUUUGCAGGGCAACUGGAACCGGUCACUGCGUGACAGGUCUCCUCUUUGUCUUUAUUUUUAGGAAGUAGAGCCGGCUAGCAGCAGUCAAGGCGAAGUGGGCAAGGCGGUCCAGUCGCAUUUCGCCGAGACGUCCUCUCCAACCAACCGGCCGGCACAGCUGUUUCACCGCUCCCGUGAGCCCUGCGGAAACAUUACGGGACCGUGUGACGGAGCCUUUUCCACGUAAAGGGGCCGUGUGGGUGGCCUUCAGGAACGGGCCGAGGGGUUGCCGCGUGCCCUGCGAUGACGGCGUCCGGCUCCCGGUGUGGCUGAAGCGCGCGGCCUCAGGACGUGGCCGUUCACAGGAGACCAAGACAACAGCCCGGCGAUGGCAGGAACUUCCCGGAUGGCGAGGCGGCCUUCCUUGGCGCUCCAUGUGGAUCCUCCCCGAUGGGCAUCCGAGAGCUGAG
This is a long non-coding RNA of Poecile atricapillus (Black-capped chickadee), 1121 nucleotides long. RefSeq lists it as uncharacterized. NCBI's taxonomy places the organism in Eukaryota, Metazoa, Chordata, Aves, Passeriformes, Paridae. The transcript is spliced from 4 exons. The record is from RefSeq and is a predicted model, not a curated record.